RNAcentral lists this small RNA (125 nucleotides) under Marmota monax (woodchuck). The record is from RNAcentral. Lineage: Eukaryota; Metazoa; Chordata; Mammalia; Rodentia; Sciuridae.
GCGGGGCGUGGUGGUGCACGCCUGUAAUCCCAGCGGCUCAGGAGGCUGAGACAGGAGGAUUGCCAGUUCAAAGCCAGCCUCAGCAACGGCGAGGUGCUCAGCAACUCAGUGAGACCCUGUCUCUA